UACUAUGCAGUCGACGGCAUCACAUAAGAGCUUGCUCUUUGGGUGGCGAGUGGCGGACGGGUGAGUAAUGUCUGGGAAACUGCCCGAUGGAGGGGGAUAACUACUGGAAACGGUACCUAAUACCGCAUAACGUCUCUCCACCAAGGUGGGGGACCUUCGGGCCUCACACCAUCGGAUGUGCCCAUAUGGGAUUAGCUAGUAAGUGGGGUAAUGGCUCACCUAGGCGACGAUCCCUAGCUGGUCUGACAGGAUGACCAGCCACACUGGAACUGAGACACGGUCCAGACUCCUACGGGAGGCAGCAGUGGGGAAUAUUGCACAAUGGGCGCAAGCCUGAUGCAGCCAUGCCGCGUGUAUGAAGAAGGCCUUCGGGUUGUAAAGUACUUUCAGCGGGGAGGAAGGCGGUGAGGUUAAUAACCUUGCCUAUUGACGUUACCCGCAGAACAAGCACCGGCUAACUCCGUGCCAGCAGCCGCGGUAAUACGGAGGGUGCAAGCGUUAAUCGGAAUUACUGGGCGUAAAGCGCACGCAGGCGGUCUGUUAAGUCAGAUGUGAAAUCCCCGGGCUUAACCUGGGAACUGCAUUUGAAACUGGCAGGCUUGAGUCUCGUAGAGGGGGGUAGAAUUCCAGGUGUCCCGGUGAAAUGCGUAGAUAUCUGGAGGAAUACCGGUGGCGAAGGCGGCCCCCUGGACUUAUACUGACGCUCAGGUGCUAAAGCGUGGGGAGCUAACAAGAUUACAUGCUGGUUUUCCAAAAAGUGUCAAU
Molecule: ribosomal RNA, 765 nt
Filed under: Pantoea dispersa
Lineage: Bacteria; Pseudomonadati; Pseudomonadota; Gammaproteobacteria; Enterobacterales; Erwiniaceae
Description: bacterial SSU rRNA
Rfam family: Bacterial small subunit ribosomal RNA
Source: RNAcentral